AUUGAACGCUGGCGGCAUGCCUUACACAUGCAAGUCGAACGGCAGCGCGGACUUCGGUCUGGCGGCGAGUGGCGAACGGGUGAGUAAUACAUCGGAACGUACCCUGUUGUGGGGGAUAACUAGUCGAAAGAUUAGCUAAUACCGCAUACGACCUGAGGGUGAAAGUGGGGGACCGGAAACGGCCUCAUGCAGCAGGAGCGGCCGAUGUCUGAUUAGCUAGUUGGUGGGGGAAAGGCCCACCAAGGCGACGAUCAGUAGCUGGUCUGAGAGGACGAUCAGCCACACUGGGACUGAGACACGGCCCAGACUCCUACGGGAGGCAGCAGUGGGGAAUUUUGGACAAUGGGGGCAACCCUGAUCCAGCAAUGCCGCGUGUGUGAAGAAGGCCUUCGGGUUGUAAAGCACUUUUGUCCGGAAAGAAAUCGCGCUGGUUAAUACCUGGCGUGGAUGACGGUACCGGAAGAAUAAGCACCGGCUAACUACGUG
Molecule: ribosomal RNA, 486 nt
Filed under: uncultured bacterium
Lineage: Bacteria
Description: partial 16S ribosomal RNA
Rfam family: Bacterial small subunit ribosomal RNA
Source: RNAcentral